Molecule: long non-coding RNA, 13450 nt
Organism: Panthera uncia (snow leopard)
Lineage: Eukaryota; Metazoa; Chordata; Mammalia; Carnivora; Felidae
Exons: 3
Source: RefSeq, a predicted model, not a curated record
UUUUGCCCUCAGCCUGCCUCAUGCUCCCUUAUCAAUUAUGAUGGCUUUUGUAAAAAAAAAAAAAAAAAAAAAAAAAAAGAAAAGAAAGAAAAAGAAAAAAGGAAAGUUUUAGUUUUUAUAUAUAUUUUUGCUUUUUACACAUUUGGUGGUUUUGCUCUCUGUAGUUUCAGUCACCUGUGGUCAAUCAUGGUCCAGAAACAGAUGAUCCUCUUUCUGGUGAAUGGUGAGAAAGUGUGUAAUAGCCUAACAUUACAUCACAGCGUCUGCAUUUUUCACGUCCUUUCAUUUUAUCAUCUCACAUCAUCACGAGAAGGAUGAGGUACAGCGUAAUAUGAGAUAUUGAGAGAGACCACAUUCACAUAACUUUUAUUGCAGUAUGUUGUUAUAAUUAUUCUAUUUUAUUAUUAGGCGGUGGUGUUCAUCUCUUACUGGCCUAAUUUAUAAAUUAUCCAAGGUAUGUAUGGGAUAAAAUGUGAUAUACAUAGGGUUCGGUGCUAUCUGAGGUUUGAGACAUCAACUAGGAAUCUUAGCAUGUUCCCCUGUGGACAAAGACAGCCACCUGUAAUUCUCCUUUGUGAAGUGUUUAUUCAACUUUUUGCCAUUUAUUUUCCUAUGUGAAUUACCCUGGCUUUCUUUCAUUGCAUUAUAGAACGUCCUUACGCAUAAUCUGCAUAUGAAUCACCUGUCAGAGAUAUGGAUGGCAAGCAUCUUUCCCAUGUUAUGACUUGCCUUUUUACUUCUUAUGACUUGCCAAUGAUGUCUUUCAAUGAAAAGAAACUCUAAAUUUUAACGCAGCGCAAUUUAUUGCUUUUCUACUUGUUUUAGGAUGGAGACGUGGGUCAGAAUAGCUUCACAGCUAUUGUUCUUGCAAAGCGAUUAACGAACACGGCUUUGCAUUUUGAAUGCUUUGUAUUCUCCUUUUUAACACUGGUGUCUAAACCUUCUGCCCUUUUCUCCAUGUUGCAUUCGAUUUCAUUUCCAGUCAUAGCAGUUUUUAACUUAUGGGGGGGCUGGGGGGAACUUUGUCCUAAAAGGAAGCUUCGGUCUAUUGGUUUUGAGAUUUGAGUGUUCAUAGUACCAAGAUGGCUCCAGCUCGCUCAGACCUUACUAGGCACUCACCUAAAAAUUGAAAUGUGCAAAAGUCCUUGCUAGUCUCAAGGACUGCCAUACCUCUGAGUACUUUUUGGAAAUCUGAGUUGAGUUGUUUGGUUCGUUAGGUUUUUUUGUUCUUUUUUUUUUUUUUUUUUAAUCUCAGAUCCAUCCGAUGCCCCGUGCCUCCUUUGCUGAUAUCAUGUAGGUCUUGAAACUGUCAAGUUUGUCCUCACCCGUUUAUAUUUUGAAGUUCAUGGGGAUGUCAUGUUACCUACUUUGGGUGACUUAUGUUAUAGAUAGGAUUUGGUUAUGCUUGCCUUCAUGAAAUGAUUUGGAAAGAUUAUAUAUGUGUAUAAUAUAUAUAGUCUUCAUCAUCUUCCUUGAAUUUCUCUCACUACAGUUAUUAUCCUCAUCGUGCAGAGGGGGAGCCAAGCCCUUAGAGAAUCUUGGUCAAAGCCAAAUAAUGGAAACAUGUGGAUUAAGAAUCAAGCCUAUCUCUACGAACUCUAAGGUCUGUGGAUCCAUUGUUGAUUCGUUUUAUUUUGGACCAAAGAACUCCAUUGGCCAUUCUAGGCAAGAGCUGCAGUUUUCUCUGCUCAAGGACAAGUAGGUCCUCCUCAGGAUAAGUCUGCCUUUGGAAGAAGAUCUCUGUCUGGGAAGAUUGUGCCCACCGGCAGCACAGGCUUCUGUUCGGGCCGUAAGCUCCUUGAAGGCCGGGCCAUGUCUGUUCUGUCUCGAUCUCCCACAAGCAAAAUGCACACAGUAGGUCUUCAAGUAUCUACUGAAUGAAUGGUGAACAUCUGGUUGGUCAUGUUAUUCCCUAUCCUUCUUCAUUUUAAACAGUUCCAGGCUAUCUGUCCCAGCUUCUUCUUCUACCUAAACGUUCAGAAGAUUUUUUUUUCCAUGCUCGAAAAUAUCCUACUGCGAUUUCAUUAUAUUCGUAAACUAUUUGUGGAUGAUUUACAAUCUUUGUGAUACUAAUCUGUCAAUAUGUGAACAUGACAUAAUAUUUUACAGCUUUAACAUUUUUUUUUUACUGUUUAUUUACUUUUGAGAGACAGAGAGAGACAGAGCACGAGUGGGGGAGGGACAGAGAGAGAGGGAGACACAGAAUCCGAAGCAGGCUCCAGGCUGAGCUGUCAGCACAGAGCCCAGUGUGGGGCUCGAACCCAUGAACUAUGAAAUAAUGAGCUGAGCCAAGGUUGGAUGCUUAACCGAUUGAGCCACCCAGGUGCCCCUAUAGUAUUGUUUUUUACCUCAUACGAAUUCUACUCAGUUCCUAUGAGGAUUAUUUACACUUUAUUUUAUAUUUUUGGUUGCAACUGGGUGCAAUAUUUUUGGAAAGGAGGGAUCCUUUUCUUAUUCUGUUUUCAAAGUAGAUACAUUUUUAAUACAGGAUCUUGCUGGUAUUUUCUAUGUUUUUAAAAUGUAUUUAAAUCAAGCGUUUGCGCUAAUUAAUAGAUCUUACUAACUUUUCUAGGUAGGCAGUCAUGUAAUCUAUGGACAACUUAUUCUUUUAAUUUUUUUAAAUAUUUAUUUCUUUUUGGGAGAGAGACAGAGACAGAGAGUGAGCAGGGGCAGAAAGAGAAGGAGACACAGAAUCCGAAGCAGGCCCCAGGCCCUGAGCUGUCAGCACAGAGCCCCACGUGGGGCCCGAACUCACAAACCACAAGACCAUGACCUGAGGGGAAGUCGGACACCUAACUGACUGAGCCACCCAGGCGCCCCCGGGGCAACUUAUUCUUUAUCCCUUUCAUUAUUAGAACUAUUAUUGCAUUUUCAUAUUUUAUCUCAUCAGUUAUCAUUUACACAAGAAUUUUAAAUAAUAAUAAUCAAAUGAGAUAAUUUCAUCAUGUUUGUCGUCCCAAAGAGAAUUUAUUUGUUCACCAUUAAGCAUGAUGCAGUUGCUACUGUGGCAUAGAUCCAUUUUCAUGUUAAAAAGCAAUGUUUAGAGGCGCCUGGGUGGCUCAGUCAGUUAAGCAUCGGAUUCUUUAUUUCAGCUUAGGCCCCACAACCGGGUGGAACCUGCUUGGGAUUCUCUGUGUCUCUCGCUCUCUGUCCCUCUGCACCUCCCCCCUUCUCUCUCUCUCAAAAUAAAUAAAUAAACAUUGAAAAAGCAAUUGGUAUCCCUUUUACAAAGAAAUUUUGUAUGAAAAACGGUAUUCAAUUUUAUUAAAGGUGCUUGAAUCCUCAAUACAAGAAUUAGAAAGAACAUGAUUUGGGGGCCACAAUCUUGAGCGUUCCAAUCUGAGCAACUUCAUGGACACCUUUUCUCUGACGACGAUGUCGGGAUCCACACAAAACACCACUGGCUAUUAGCUUCGCUGACUUUUCCUGGCCUGCAAACCAAGUUCACUGGUUCAUCGGACGUUUUGCUGCAUGCUGGUCUCUUCAUUAUGUUUUCCUCUGAUUUGGCUACAAUUUAAGAAAGGGUCACACCUCAAAUGUUCAUUUUGCAAAUAAGGUGGCUGAAGGAAAAAAAAAAGUGAUGUUAAGUCUCACAUUUUGGAGAUACUUGGGCUUCUUCACUCUGAGAUAGAAAUGUAUCUUCCAAUUUGCUCGGCCCUCUAAGCUCCUGCAAAAUUAAAUGUGAACGUUUCCAUGAAAAGUAAGUUAUUAUUAUUAUUUUUUUUGCUGGCUUUGUGUUCCUCUUUGUUAAUCUGCUCAUGUGGCCAAAAAUUACACAGAAAAUUAUUGCGAGAGCUACAGCUCUUGGAGCAUUUUUGUCCCAGGGAAUGGAUUCCCUUUUCUUCCUUAUUACGAAGAGUAUUGAGUGUGUGUGUGUGUGUGUGUGUGUGUGUGUGUGUGUGAGUGUGUGCGUGUCUGUAGAUGCAUUUUGAAGCAAAAACUAAAUCAUAGGAGUCAUCCCACAAAGGCCAUCCUGCCACCGCCCACAGUUCAUUGGCCCAUCUCUCUCUCCUCCCCCCACCCCACCUCAUCUCCACCUCCCAACCCUGCAAGUAACUGGCAGUGCUCUCCUCCUCCUCCCUGGGCCUCUGUUAUCCCAGCGGCCGCCGCAAACUCAUUCCUCACUUUCACCAAACUGAUUUCUGUUUGCGGAGCAGCUGGCGGGAGCUUUCCGAGGCCAGGAGCUGCCUGAGAAGCAAGCCUGCUUCCUUCCACGGUCAGGGGGCUUUUAGAAAUAACACCCUCCUUGGAGGAAGUCAGAACAGCAACAGGAAAAUAAGUAAAACCUAUUAUAAAACAGUUGUCCCAGAACUUGGGCACGGCGCUGGGUGGAGAUCGAUAUACUUGUGAAGGUUAAAUCUAUUUUCACACUGUGUUCUAUUUCACAGUUUAAUGGUGUUUUAAUGUGUCUGUCACCGAGCCCCUUCAUGUUAUGCAGGUAGGGCCUUUACAAAGGAGAAAGAACCCGGCUUUUCAAGCUUCGCUGUAACAUCUUAUUUACCAGCUGCGAUCUGACAUUUUCUUUUCCCUUCCAGAGCGACGGCGGGUCUGGCUCUCCCUCUCAACCCCUCUGGCUCUCCUUCCAAUCCUCAUUUGUACUCCUAAUUUUGCGAGGAGGCAAAGUUGAGACCCUGAGCGAGAUUCUUAGGUAUCUCUCUGAAAAGCUCUCCAGCAUAGUUAGCCGUAUUUAAGAAGAAGGUAACUAAGACCUUUCUGAUUCGUCCUCCCCGUGUCCUCAGUUGGCCUCCUACAUUGUGUGGGGGAUCCCAGCUGGUUCUGGCCAAGCUCACUGCCCUCCCUCUCCUGCUGGGGUUUCCUGCUCAACCCCCAACUUUGUCUCUCUCUCUCCACCUUACACGUCAGUGAGCACGUGGUCAGGGGUCUCGCUUUGCUUCCCCACCCUCAUGAGAGAAAUCCUGACUAUCCUUGCCUCCGAAGAGAUCUUUCCUUCUACCUUGACACAAGUCAGCCAUGGGAACUGUGUUAGUUUUUCCCAGGGCUGUUGUAACUUGGUGGCGUAAAGGUAACAGAAAUGUGUCCCCUCGCAGAUGUGGAGGCUGGAAGUCUGAAACCGAGAGCAGGCAGGGCCAUGGUCUCUCUGAAGUCUCUACGGGAGACUUUCAAUUAACUUCUAGUGUUACGGGAAAUCCUUGGCUCUCCUUGGUUUGUGGACACCUCCCUCCCACCUCUGUCUUUCUCAUUAUAUAGUGUUCUCCCAAUGCAUUCUCUUCUUAUGAGGAUACCACUCAUAUUGCAUGAAGGGCCAGCCUACUCUACCAUGACCCCAUCUUAACUAAUUGCAUCUGCGAUGGUCUUAUUUCCAAAACAUGGUCACAGGCUGAGGUCCUAGGAAGGAUGUGAACUUGGGGAAAUGCUAUAUGUGAUAGUUAAUUUUAUGCGUCAACUUGACUGGGCCACGGUGCCCACCUUUCUGGUCAAAGAGCGUUCUGAAUGUUCCUGCAAGAGUGUUUUUGAUGAGAUUACCAGUUAAAUCUGUGGACUUUGAGUAAAACCGAUUGCCAUCCAUAAUGUGGGUAGGCCACAUCUAAUCAGUUGAAGGCCCAAAUGGAACAAAGUCCUGCUCUCUUCCAGGCAAGAGCAAAUCCUGCUAGCUAACUGGCUUCAGACUUAAACUGCAUGAUUAGCUCUUCCUGAGUCUCCAGCCUUCAAAUCACCCUGCAGAUUUGGGACUUGACAACCUCCAUAACUGCAUGAGCCAAUUCCUUAAAUCUUUUUCCCUAUUUACACACACACACACACACACACACACACACUGGCACACUGGUUCUGUUUCUCUGGAGAACCCUGGCUAAUAUAUUAUCUAACCCAGUACAGCCCUGUAGAUAAAGUAUAUAGAAAGUGUCCUGUGGGAAAACACAUAUUAUUUAAUUAUGCUCGAUAAGGAAGAAACAGAAUUUAGGCACUCAGAUUUCUGGGUUAGAGUCAUGGAACCAGCAUGACAUCUCCCUGUUUGUCAUGAAUUCCAAAUGGCUGGGUUUUCAGUGGAAUUCAAAUUAUAGGGAGGGGAGGGCACCUUGACUAGGUAUAGCUUAUAGCAGAAAUUUCCAAAGGAUGGUCCUUGGAGAUAUCUGAGACUGUUGCAGAGGAUCCACAGAAUUAAAACUAUUGUCAUAAUGAUAGUUUUUUUUUUGCUUAUUUUAAUUGAAAUUGACCUUUAAUUUUUUUUUUUUUAAUAUUUAUUUACUUGUGAGAGAGAGAGACAGAACAUGAGCAGGGGAGUGGCAGAGAGAGGGAGACACAGAUCUAAAGCAAGCUCCAGGCUCUGAGGUGUCAGCAUAGAACCCGAUGCAGGACUUGAACUCUCGAACUGCAAGAUCAUGACCUGAGCCGAAGUUGGACGCUUAACCAACUGAGCCACCUAGGCGCCCCUUGAAUUGACCUUUAAACUGAUGAAACCGAUGUGUAAUGUGUCUGAGCAUGAGUCAAUGUAUUCCCCUCUGCCCCCAGACAUUGUUUCUUUACUAAAGUGGACUUUCAAGGCAAUAAAAGCCAGUUUUAUUUGAGAAUGCCAUUAGGAGAGCAAUGAAAAUUAAUAAUUGCGUUAAUUCUGACAUUUUUUGUUGUGGCAAAAUCAGAAGUUCACCCGAAGCAGUUUUGUGUCUUAUCAGGUAUGAUGGUUACCUGGAGGAAAAGGCCUUGUGUGAUUGAGUUGCUAGCUGAACUAGCCACUUUUUUCAUGGAACAGUAUUUUUACUUGACAGAACAAUUAACAAAGUGUACUUACUCAGACUUAGGCACUUGGCAAACAUUUUCUUGGAAGUGAGUGACGUGAGUCUGUCACUUAAAGGUAAAUGAGAGUAUUUGUUACAAAUGAUGAAAGGCAGACUUUCAAAAGAAAAUUAGAAUUUUAAGGGUGCCUGGGUGGCUCAGUCAGUUAAGCCUUCAGUUCAGGCCAUGAUCUUUCAGUCUGUGAGUUCGAGCCCCACGUCAGGCUCUGUGCUGACAGCUCAGAACCUGGAGCCUGCUUCCCAUUCUGUGUCUCCCUCUCUCUCUGCCCCUCCCCUGCUCACCCUAUGUCUCCCUCUUCCUCUCUCAAAAAUAAACAAACAUUUAAAAACAUUAAAAAAAAAGAAAAUUAGAAUUUUAGAGAACUUGUGUCUGCCAUUAUGAGCUUAACAGCUCUCUUAUGAGGCUCACAGUGAUGUUGAUUGUUGAUGAACAUGAUUAUUACUGUAUCAUGAAACAUAUCAAGGUUUAGAAUGUUUGCCUAACACAGUGAACUAUUGUUUUCCAAAUGACAAAGGCAAGAUAUUACAAAAAUCACAUGUGAGUAAUAGAUCCAUUCAAACAAAAAGACGAACUAAUGUAUGUUAAUGUUCAUUCAUGUAAUUUCAGAUUCCACAUUGCAACUCACCUUUAAAAAUUAUUACUUGUCAAGUUUUGGUGUAAUAUGAUAAAAGAAUACCUAUAAUUAUCAAACAGGCUAUUACAAUACUCUUUCCUUUUCUAACCCAGACAGAUGGUAAGACCAAACAUUCAUCAUAUUCUUGAACCAAAACAAUAUAUUUUAAUAGGCUGAAUACAGAUGGAGGUGGAAGCCCCAGUCUUCUAUUAAACCAGACAUUAAAGAGUUUAGCAAAAAAUGUAAAACAGUGCUACACUCCUCACUAAUUAUUUGAAAAUACAAAUAUGCUAUUUAUUUUAACAUGUAGUAGAUUUGUUAUUAUUUUAGGUGGAGACAUAACUACUCAUAAAAAUUCCCAAUUUUAAUUUCCAAUACAGCAAAUAUUGAUAUAACCCAUAUAAACAAAAGCUCUUUGGAAUCCCCCCCUCAAAUUUUAGGGUGCCUGGGUGGCUUAGUUGGUUAAGAGUCCAACUCGUGACUUCAGCUCAUGUCAUGAUCUCAUGGUUCAUGGGUUCCAGCCACACCAGGGCUCCAUGCUAAUAGUGCAGAGCUUGCUUGGGAUUGGUAAGGCCUUUCAAAUAAUUGAAUCAGGCCCACCAAGAUUAUCUAUUACAGCUCGAAGACAGAUUUUCUAGGAUUAUCUCCUUUGCUUCAAGUGAACAGAUUAUGGGAUUUAAUGACAUUGACAAAAUAACUUCAUUGCAACACAGAUUUUAGUGUAAACAAAUAAAUGAAAGCUAUUGUCUAAUCAAAUUGACACAUAGAAAAAGACCAUCACAGUCCACCCCUUAUCAACCUGGCAUCCAUACACAUCUCUUUAAACCAUACUUAAAAUCCAAACAUUCAUUCCUGAAGGGUUUGAGCUAUUUGCAAUCCUACCUCACUGGGUUGUGGUAGUUUUCCACUGACUUCAAUCAUAGAAUGUGGUAGUAAUAAGAGAUAACCCUAAGGGAUCUCCCUUAUUCCAGACAUAUUCUUACAUCCAUUUUGUAACUCAUUUACACUUUUAAUCAGGAACAAUCCUGCUAGCCAGUACAGUAGCCUCCUUAUUUGUCUAUUGAUCGAGACCCUUGAAUUGCCCAGUGGCUGGGUGACAUCUUGAUUAUACUGGACUGCUUAUAUCAUAGAUGGAACAGCACUAUGUUCUUAUUGGCAAUAGAUAAUUAACUCUACAUAUAGAUCUGUCUUUCCUGUGUGCCUUACUCUUGCCAAACUACCAUCUGUGGGCUUACAGAAUACGUAUUGUCCUUUGUUUUACUUGGCAUCCUUACUCUUGGGAUUAAGACCCAAGCAAUGGUCACUCACUGAGACAGCAAAGACUUGGAGAGGAAUACUUCGCAAUCAGUUGUUGGACAAAUGAGUUGCAUGUUACUUGGAUAGGUCAAAAGAUGUGCAGAUAAUCAAUAUAUAGAAUGUUUGAAUCAUGGGACUAGAUGACAGAGAGAGAAAGAGAAAAGUAAUAGAGCGCUCCCCCCACCCCUUCCCCACAACCCUUGAAGGGAGAUAUAUAACAGAGAGAAAAGAAACAACCAGAAAGAUUAAGAAGUAGUUACCACUGACCUGAGGGGCUAAAAAUAUGUAUCUUUCUGAAGACUAACUCACUUUAAGUAUUUUGAAUUUUGUAGUGUUUCACAAAGAGAAUCAUGCCUUCUGCUGGUCUGCCAUGCAAACAAAUGUGGGAAUCAUGGUAGAAAAUUUUGUGCUACAAACCAAAUAUUUAUUGAUCUCUGCUACAAAGAAAUGAAAGAGUAAUGAGGGCUGAGGAUAACUCAUUCAUUCAUUCAAUAAGAGGUUUUUCAGAAAAUAAUACAUAAGUGACAUUAAUUUAGGCAUGACGAAUACAAAAUUUAAUAAAAUUUGCUUCCUCACUAAAGGUAAUUAAGAAACGUUUUGGUGGAAAUAUAAGACCUGACUCAGCAUUUUAUUUCGAUAGGGAUCCAGGAGAAGACUGAGAAAUCGCAGAUUUGGAUUUAAACAUCUCAUCACAGGGUUUAACAAUGCUCAGUGAAUAUGAAUUUUGGAGAAUUAAGGGAAAAAAUGACCAGCUCAGUUAACUCCUGGGAUAUUUCGAAACAUUUCACUUCUCCUAGAAUUGAGACACUUUUUUUUUUUUUAUCACCAUUUUGCACUUUCCCAGGGAGGGUAUGAACCAGCUGCCUAUUGAGCAAAAAUAUUACCAUCCAAUUAAUAUUUUGGAAGCAGUGACAGACUAUCCUAACCUCCUGGCUCAGCAGUCUGUUCUGAGAGUCUGAUCAUACAGGAAGUGAGAUAAACGUGGGGCCAGUCAGUUCAUCAGGCCCUCACCACAAAAGAGCAGAGGCCACUUACUGAAGUCUGUGAAUCACAGAAGGCUGCAGCAGGGGAUUUUGCAUUUGAAUUAUGAAUAUUUAAAUAGGCUUAUUAAAACUGUGUCCACAGAGAGCAAAAAUGCAUUUGCUUUUAAAACAGUUAAAAAUAUAAGAGGUAGUGCAGAACAGUCUCUAACUCAUGGAAUUUGGAGUCAGAAGACACAGAGUGGAUCCCUGUCUCCAGCACCUCCCAGCUAUGUGGCAUGGGGAAAUGAAUUUGACCUCUAUAGGUUUUAUCCAACACUCCACUUCACUUAUUCUCCUUCAUUUGGUAACAACAACAACAACAACAACAAAAGGAGCAUGGUCUUUAGAGCCACUCUGUCUAGAUUUGAAUCCUGGCUCCAUGAUUUCAUAACUGUGCAUGUUACUUCAUCUCUCUGUGCCUCAGUUUACCUAUCCAUAAAUGGUAAUGAUGCCAGUAGCUAUGGCAAGGCCUUUUUGUAAGAUUACAUAAGUUAAUUCAUAUAAUAUGUUUAGAACAGUGUCAAGCACAUAACAAGCAAAAAACAAAUGUCAGCUCUGACAUGAAAUACUAUGUCAUUAGUGUAUGCUAGAGCCGUGCUUGGUGAUCAGACGAAUUAGUGAACAAGAUGGACAGUCUUUGCCCCCCGUAGAGACAAUUAGACACACAAUGACAAAAGAGGGGCUAUGAACAUUUAGUAUGGAGACUGCAAUGUUAAAGAAGCUCCUAAAUUAGUGUUAAGGGGUCAUGGAAUGCAUUCAAAGAGAAGUGAAGUUUAAGCUGAGGCAUAAUAGAUAGAUAGGAAUUAGCCGAGAACAAAAAGGGGAAGGAUAUUAGAGAGAAAGAAAAUAUGAAUAUGGGUGGGAAGGAUGGAGGAUGGACAGAGAGAGAGGGAAGGAAGGAAGGAAGGAAGGAAGAAAGGAGGAAAGGAAGGAAGGAAGGAGGAAAGGAAGGAAGGAAGGAAAGAAAGAGGAGAGAAAAACAAGAAAGAAAUGAGGAAGAAAGAGAAAGAAACAAGGGAAAAAGAAAGGAAGAAAGAAAAGAAAAGUCACAUGUCAAGUUGUAACAGGGAAAGGCUUAGAAUGAAGUUUGAAAGGCCAGGUCACAAUUCAUCUCGAAAAACGUAUUAAGGAGUUUGAACUUUAUUUUAUAGACAUCAGAGAGCUCAGGAAGGAAUGAUGAUAUUUCCAUUUUUUGAGUUUAUUUAUUUAUUUUGAGAGAGAAAGACAGAGAGAGAGAGAAUCGAUAGCAGGCUAUGUGCUGUCAGUGCAGAGCCUGAUGCAGGGCUCAAUCUCACAACCCUGGGCCUCAGCUGGAAUCAAGAGUUGGACGCUCAACCGACUAAGCCACCCAUGUGCCCCAAUAUUUCUGUUUUGGAAGUACUCUGGACUGACAGGGAUUAAUGGGAACCAUGACUUGGAGUGGUCAAGCAAAAGCAGAGAUACCACUAAGGUGGUUGUUACAGCAAACCAGGCAAGGGAUGAUAGUGUCUUGAGGCAUGAUAAUUCAAAGAUAUAUUUGAAUCAUUUUUAAGAAAGAGAAACACAAGUCUUUGGUGAUUGACUGGAUAUGGGGACUAAGAAAGGGAAUACUCAAGGCUGGCUCCAGACUGAUGGUUUGUGCAAGAGGUGCCUAGUGAUGACCUUCACUGGCAUGGGUGGGGGGACAUCAAAUGUAGGCUAGGUUUGGCUUGGAUGAAUGAGAAAAGAAAAUGUGUCUUAUUUGGGAUCUAUUGAUUAAGGAUACCAAGGGCAACAACCAACUAGAAUUCUCCAACGGGCAAGGGAAAGGUCUGGGCUGGAGACACAGGGGAUCUGUCCAUAUGGAGGUGGGUAAUACAGAGAAUGGGUAAUACAGAGAAUGAGAGAAGAAGAAGGCCUUCCUGGCGGGGAACCUGGAAGAUACCAUCCUCAAGGGUGGACCUAGGAAGAAAAUUCUGGAGAGAAACUGAAGUGUUAUUGCAGAGAAGUAAGAAAAGUGAGAACGUUAAAUGCCAUGUAGGCAUUUAGGCACUUUCAAGAGUUGAAAGUGUUCUUUAAAGUGGGAAGGAGGAGUAGUCAAAAAUGAAGAGGUCUGCAAAAAAAUCAGGUAGGAAGAGGGUUCUACAGCUUGGAGGCCAUUGACAACUCUGGGUAGGGCAGUAGUAGUGAGGUGAGGAGGUUUGUGUUGUUGUUAUUGCUGUUGUUAUCAUUAUUUUGCUAUUAACUUAUACGAGUUCUUUAUAUCUUUUGAAUAUUAGCUUCUUAUCAGACACGUGGUUUGAAAAUAUCUUUUUCCAUUUCAUAGGCUGUCUUUCCAUUUUGUUGGUGGUUUCUUUGGCUGUGCAGAAGUUUGAGUUUGUUGUAGUUCCAAAGGUCUAUUUAUUUAUUUUUUAAUUUUGUUUCUUGUGCUUUAGGUGUCACAUCCAAAAACCCAGCAUCAAGGCCCACAUCAAGUUGCUGUAUUCCUGUGUUUACUUCUGGGACCUCCAUGGCUCCGGGUCUUACGUUUAAAUCUAUCAUACAUGUUGAGUUAAUAUUUUGUGAGUGGUGUAGGUACAGUUUCACUCUUUUAAUUUUUCUUUUUAAAGUUUUAUUUAUUCUUGAGAGAGACAGUGAGACAGAGUGUGAGCAGGGGAGGGGCAGAGUGAGAGAGGGAUACAGAAUCGGAAGCAGGCUCCAGGCUCCAAGCUGUCAGCACAGAGCCUGACGCAGGGCUCGAACUCACGAGCCGUGAGUUCAUGACCUGAGCUGAAGUCACACGCUUAGCCGACUAAGCUACCCCGGCGCCCCCAGUUCGAUUCUUUUAAAUGUGAAUAAUCAAUUAUCAGAGCCCCAUUUAUUGCAAAGACACUCUUUUCUCCAUUAAGUGUUCUUGGCCCCCUUGCCAAAUACUAGUUGACUGUUUAUGCUUGGGUUUCUUUCUGGGCUCUCAGUCGUGUUCCAUCUCAAUUCUGUUUUACACCACCACAGUGGUUUUUGAUAACCUUAGCUUAAAAUCAGAAAGUGUGAUGCCUCCUGCUUCGUUCUUUCUCAGGAUUGCUUUGGCUAUUUAGAGUCCCUUGUGGUUUCCCGUAACUUUUAGGAAUGUUUUUUUCUACUUCUGUAAAAAAUGCCAUUGGAAUCUUGGUAGAGGUUGCAUUGAAUCUUUUGGUAAUAUUGACAUUGUCACAAUGUUAAUUCUUCCAAUCCAUGACCAUGUAAUACCUUUCCAUUUAUCUGUGUCUUCUUUGAUUUCUUCCAUCAGCAUCUUAUAAUUUUUAGGUUAGAGAUUUUUGCUCUCCUUAGUGAAAUUUUUUCCUAUGUAUUUUAUUGGGGUUUUGUUUUGUUUUGUUUUGUUUUGUUUUUAGGUAGGCUCCAGGCCCAGCAUGGAACCCAACAUGGGGCUUGAACUCACAAACUGGGAGAUCGUGACGUGAGCUGAAAUCAAAAGUCGGUUACUUAACCAACUGAGCCACCAGGCACCCCUCUUAGUUUUUGCCUUGUAUGUUGGAUACUCUAAUGUGAGACAUUAUCUAUGUCUCUUUUUAUAAUUUUUAGUUUAAAAUCUAUUUUGCUUCAUAUAAAUAUAGCUACCCCUGCAUAUUUUUGUUACCAUUUCCUUGAAAUGUUUUUUUCUCCCAUGUUUUCACUCUUAGUCUGUGUGUGCCUAUAAAACUAACGUGAGUCUCUUGUAGGGAGUUUAUUUUUGGAUCAUUAAAAAAAAAAACGAUUCAGCCAUUCUAUAUCUUUUAAUUGGAGAAUUUAAUCCAUUAUGUUUAAAAUAGUUAUGAAUAGGUAAAGACUUACUAUC